GAUGAACGCUGGCGGCGUGCCUAAUACAUGCAAGUCGAGCGAACGGACGAGAAGCUUGCUUCUCUGAUGUUAGCGGCGGACGGGUGAGUAACACGUGGAUAACCUACCUAUAAGACUGGGAUAACUUCGGGAAACCGGAGCUAAUACCGGAUAAUAUUUUGAACCGCAUGGUUCAAAAGUGAAAGGCAGUCUUGCUGUCACUUAUAGAUGGAUCCGCGCUGCAUUAGCUAGUUGGUAAGGUAACGGCUUACCAAGGCAACGAUGCAUAGCCGACCUGAGAGGGUGAUCGGCCACACUGGAACUGAGACACGGUCCAGACUCCUACGGGAGGCAGCAGUAGGGAAUCUUCCGCAAUGGGCGAAAGCCUGACGGAGCAACGCCGCGUGAGUGAUGAAGGUCUUCGGAUCGUAAAACUCUGUUAUUAGGGAAGAACAUAUGUGUAAGUAACUGUGCACAUCUUGACGGUACCUAAUCAGAAAGCCACGGCUAACUACGUG
Molecule: ribosomal RNA, 497 nt
Filed under: uncultured bacterium
Lineage: Bacteria
Description: partial 16S ribosomal RNA
Rfam family: Bacterial small subunit ribosomal RNA
Source: RNAcentral